RNAcentral lists this ribosomal RNA (253 nucleotides) under uncultured bacterium. RNAcentral describes it as "partial 16S ribosomal RNA". It matches the Rfam family "Bacterial small subunit ribosomal RNA", at positions 524 to 776 of the family's 1533-position model. The record is from RNAcentral.
UACAGAGAGUGCAAACGUUGUUCGGAAUCACUGGGCGUAAAGCGCACGUAGGCGGAUUGCUAAGUCAGGGGUGAAAUCCUGGAGCUCAACUCCAGAACUGCCUUUGAUACUGGUGAUCUUGAGUCCGGGAGAGGUGAGUGGAACUGCGAGUGUAGAGGUGAAAUUCGUAGAUAUUCGCAAGAACACCAGUGGCGAAGGCGGCUCACUGGCCCGGUACUGACGCUGAGGUGCGAAAGCGUGGGGAGCAAACAGG